GGGGGUGCACCGGUUUCGACUGGUACGGUUCGGGAUGCGGGCUGCAGGUGGAGAAGACGAAAGUCUGCGCCGAUCUCCUGAUUCGGCAACAAUUUAACUGCCGACAACGACAGUUACGCUCUCGCUGCGUAAGCAGCGGAACGCGGAAACCAAUCCCGCCGCCUUGAGGGGUUGUAUUUCCGUCGCAAUCAAGGCUGGUCAAGCCCCGUUUCCGGACGAGGUGCGACGAGAUUUUUCCGGAAUACGGAUGGGCCGUAUGCCGCGCAGCCAAGCCCGUCCCGACAAUAUAAGGCGCGGCUAAACCUGUAGAGGCUCGUAUUUCGCGUAUUAGGACGCGGGUUCAAUUCCCGCCACCUCCAGAU
This 362-nucleotide transfer-messenger RNA is filed under the name Treponema sp. It matches the Rfam family "transfer-messenger RNA". From Rfam's summary of the family: Bacterial tmRNA, also known as 10Sa RNA or SsrA, is named for its dual tRNA and mRNA-like properties. Its role is to liberate the mRNA from a stalled ribosome. Lineage: Bacteria; Pseudomonadati; Spirochaetota; Spirochaetia; Treponematales; Treponemataceae. The record is from RNAcentral.